GUCAGCAGCAUACCACCUUUGGUUUAGUCUAGGUAAUCCAUCUGAAGCUAUGCAGGUUUGGGCCUGCCCAGUACUUGAUUGGGAGAUCAACUAGGAAAGCCGGAUUGCUACUGGAA
Molecule: ribosomal RNA, 116 nt
Filed under: Paramormyrops kingsleyae
Lineage: Eukaryota; Metazoa; Chordata; Actinopteri; Osteoglossiformes; Mormyridae
Source: RNAcentral